AUCAUCGACCGUCGCCAUUGCAUUUCUUUUUCUUCUAGCUCCGCACGGUGUAUAGUUUUUCAUUUUAAUCAAGUGAAAUUAAAUAUAUAUUAUAUUUUUUAAAUCAAAAAAACUCACAUUUAAAUUCAAUUAAAUUACUUGAAAAAUAUUUGAAAAAAAAAUCAUCAUCAUGAGUGAUAUGGAAGUUGAAGGAAAUGGCAUUGAAAUUGAUGACCACACUGAGAAUGGCAGAGUUCGUCUGAAUGAAAUGGCCACAAAAUACAUUCAGGAUUUGAUGGGCGAAAAGUCUCGCAUGGAAAAUCAAUAUCCACUUGCUCAAAAGCUUAUUGAUGAUGCACUUGAAAAAGUCCAUACAACAGGCAGGAUACCGACACGUGAGCAGUAUGCUGAUGUCUACCAGCAGAAGACAAUAAAACUUGCACAGAAAGUUCAUGUGCCUAUCAAGGAUAAAAAGUUCAAUUACGUUGGAAAACUGCUCGGACCAAAGGGAAACUCUCUGCGCAGACUUCAAGAAGAAACUCAAUGUAAAAUAGUAAUUUUAGGACGUUUCUCAAUGAAAGAUCGUGCUCGCGAAGAAGAACUUCGCAAUUCGACAGAUACCAAGUAUGCCCACUUAAAUCUUCCACUCCAUGUGGAGAUUUCCACAAUAGCACCACCAGCUGAGGCCUAUGCCCGAGUUGCCUACGCACUAGCCGAAAUACGAAAGUAUCUCAUCCCUGACAAACAUGACGAUAUCCGCCAAGAACAACUCCGUGAACUAAUGGAAGAUCCAGAGGCAGCGAAAAAGAUAGCGCAACGUGCCCAAAUGGCCGCUGCCAAUAUCAAGCCUCAAUACCAACAGAAUAUGCAUCAAACUUACAAUAAGCCUCGAUAUAAUAGCGGCAAUGAGAACGGAUCCAGCAGUGGAUAUCCCAAACAACAGCAGGCUAUUAAUCAACCGCAGCAACAAUACUACGGUGGUGGUGGUGGCUAUCAGCAGAAGACAUAUGCUACAGCCAACUCGAGAAAUUACAAUCCGAACAAUAGACGUACAUAACGUAUAUGAGAAUCAAUACUAAAUAUUGGAACGUAUGGAAUGAUGCAAUGGACAUGGGAAGUAAAGGGAAGAAUCAUCAUUCUUCCAUUAUGUUAGAUAUAUAAAAAGGAAAGCAAACGAUAAGAAACGUCCCAGCCUUCAAAGAGCAACAUUAUGGCAAGGAAACAAAAAAAAAAAAAAUAAAGAGAGGACAGAAAAGAAGGUAAAUCUCAAGAUGGUAAAAACUAAUACA
RNA transcript from Episyrphus balteatus (marmalade hoverfly), 1268 nucleotides. It is a transcript of the gene named KH domain-containing, RNA-binding, signal transduction-associated protein 3, with no coding region annotated. NCBI's taxonomy places the organism in Eukaryota, Metazoa, Arthropoda, Insecta, Diptera, Syrphidae. The transcript has 6 exons. The record is from RefSeq and is a predicted model, not a curated record.